RNA transcript from Brachypodium distachyon (stiff brome), 1026 nucleotides. RefSeq lists it as uncharacterized. Lineage: Eukaryota; Viridiplantae; Streptophyta; Magnoliopsida; Poales; Poaceae. The record is from RefSeq and is a predicted model, not a curated record. The transcript has a single exon.
UUAUAAUUUAUAGCCUGCGCCCCUCAACGCAUCAAGGAAGAAACAAAGCAAGCAGCACUCCAAGCAGACAUCGGAUGCAUCUAGCAAGCAGAUCAGCUGGGAAGACGGAGGUGGCGGCGCACGCCCGGUCAGCCAGCCUGCCGCACGAGCACACACACCCCGUCCUGGCGCACCUAGAUGACAGCAUCCGUGCGCUCAGGUCGUGGUCAGCCAUAACUGCCGGUAAGUCCUCAUCCGGCAUUGCGCUAGUGGACGCCAUCCUGACGGCGCUCGGCGAGCUCCUGGUGCUGCCGCAAGCCGUAGCAGCCUUCGGAGACAAGGCUGCGUGUGACCCUAUCCUCGACAGGUUCCUCAUGCUCGCCGACGCCUACGGCACGUUCCUGUCGGCCCUUGUCACGCUCAAGCAGAGCGUGGCAGAGCUGCAGGUUGGCACUCGGUGCGGAGACGGUCCGAUGAUCUCUGCAUCGCUGCGGGCGCACAUGCGGACGGAGAAGGAGCUGUGCCGCCUCAUCUCCACAAUGAGGCACGCCACCAGAUGCACACUUGUGGUGUUGAGACCGGCGGAUACCAUGGACAGGGAGGUGAUCGACAGUGGCAGAGGUGGCUGCGGUGACUGUGGAAGCGUCUGAGGCCAUCUUCUUGCAGUGUGCGGCAAUGUCACCGGACAUGCCGGCAAUUGUCCAAAAGGUGUCUUCAAGCAAGUGGCUGGCUAGGCUAGGUGUCAGACCAGCUGCCGAGAAAGUAGCAUCGGAGACAGCAACUGUGCCACUGGAGAGGUUAGAGAAGCUAGAGGAAUGCAUCGAUGGGCUGGAGAUCGGGAGCGAGAAGGUUUUCAGGAAACUGUUGCAGUCUAGAGUUUCACUCCUGAACAUUCUAACCCUCCAGUCAUGAUGACUAUGUAUAGAAAGUCUAGAUUUUAGACGAGGAAGCAGGGUACAUAGGAGAGAACUUAAAGAAGAAUGUAGCAGGGAAUGUCUAAGAUGAAAGUAGCAGAAACAUGUAGAAUAACCGUGACAUACCGUAUGU